RNAcentral lists this ribosomal RNA (900 nucleotides) under uncultured bacterium. RNAcentral's name for it is "bacterial SSU rRNA". It matches the Rfam family "Bacterial small subunit ribosomal RNA", at positions 8 to 916 of the family's 1533-position model. The record is from RNAcentral.
AGAGUUUGAUCCUGGCUCAGGACGAACGCUGGCGGCGUGCUUAACACAUGCAAGUCGAACGGAAAGGCCCUGCUUGCAGGGUGCUCGAGUGGCGAACGGGUGAGUAACACGUGGGUGAUCUGCCCCUUACUUUGGGAUAAGCCUGGGAAACUGGGUCUAAUACUGGAUAGGACCAUGCUGUAGGUGGUGUGGUGGAAAGAUUAGUUUCGGUAAGGGAUGAGCUCGCGGCCUAUCAGCUUGUUGGUGGGGUAAUGGCCUACCAAGGCGUCGACGGGUAGCCGGCCUGAGAGGGUGGACGGCCACAUUGGGACUGAGAUACGGCCCAGACUCCUACGGGAGGCAGCAGUGGGGAAUAUUGCACAAUGGGCGCAAGCCUGAUGCAGCGACGCCGCGUGGGGGAUGACGGCCUUCGGGUUGUAAACUCCUUUCAGCCAUGACGAAGCCUUCGGGUGACGGUAGUGGUAGAAGAAGCACCGGCUAACUACGUGCCAGCAGCCGCGGUAAUACGUAGGGUGCGAGCGUUGUCCGGAAUUACUGGGCGUAAAGAGCUCGUAGGUGGUCUGUCGCGUCAUUUGUGAAAGCCCGGGGCUUAACUCCGGGUUGGCAGGUGAUACGGGCAUGACUGGAGUACUGUAGGGGAGACUGGAAUUCCUGGUGUAGCGGUGAAAUGCGCAGAUAUCAGGAGGAACACCGGUGGCGAAGGCGGGUCUCUGGGCAGUAACUGACGCUGAGGAGCGAAAGCAUGGGUAGCGAACAGGAUUAGAUACCCUGGUAGUCCAUGCCGUAAACGGUGGGCGCUAGGUGUGGGUUUCCUUCCACGGGAUCCGUGCCGUAGCUAACGCAUUAAGCGCCCCGCCUGGGGAGUACGGCCGCAAGGCUAAAACUCAAAGGAAUUGACGG